UGGCGGACGGGUGGAGUAACGCGUGGGUAACCUGCCUCAUACAAGGGGGGAAGUAAACGAAGUUAAGUAAAUAGACUGCUAAUACCGCAUAAGACGCACAGACGCAUGGUCCGGUGUGAAAAACUACCGGUGGUAUGAGAUGGACCCGCGUCUGAUUAGCUGGUUGGCGGGGGUAACGGCCCACCAAGGCGACGAUCAGUAGCCGACCUGAGAGGGUGGCCGGCCACAUUGGGACUGAGACACGGCCCAAACUCCUACGGAAGGCAGCAG
Molecule: ribosomal RNA, 270 nt
Filed under: uncultured bacterium
Lineage: Bacteria
Description: partial 16S ribosomal RNA
Rfam family: Bacterial small subunit ribosomal RNA
Source: RNAcentral